Long non-coding RNA from Bombina bombina (fire-bellied toad), 352 nucleotides. RefSeq lists it as uncharacterized. NCBI's taxonomy places the organism in Eukaryota, Metazoa, Chordata, Amphibia, Anura, Bombinatoridae. The transcript has 3 exons. The record is from RefSeq and is a predicted model, not a curated record.
CUGGGAUACAAGUCACUGAAGAUGAAGUACAGAAAUUCAGAGAGAAUGAGGUGGAUGGAGAAACAAUAGAGUGUGGCCUCACUGAGAACAUGAUAUCAUACUUAUUUGAAGGUUCAUUUAAAAAACAGGCCAAAUUCAACAAAUUAAUACGGGAGAUGAAGGAGGUGGUAACGAUAACUCUAGAACCAGUGCCACCAGAAUGCUAUCAGCAGCUUUCAACUACAGAAAUCAUACUUGGCACCAAUCCCUCAAGCGAAAAUUCAAAGCAGAGCGUGCACCUCUGGUUCUUGAUGAAGAGGUAAGAAAGGAGAAGUUUGGGCACAAGAGAGUGAGACUAUCGGAAGAAACUUCA